GACGAACGCUGGCGGCGUGCUUAACACAUGCAAGUCGAACGGACGAGUGAGAUAAGUUUACUUAACUCACAAGUUAGUGGCGGACGGGUGAGUAACACGUGGAUAAUCUACCUGCAACACCGGGAUAACGCUGUGAAAACGGUGCUAAUACCGGAUACGUUCCCUUGUGCGCAUGUAUGAGGGAAGAAAGCUCAGGCGGUUGCAGAUGAGUCCGCGGCUGAUUAGCUAGUUGGUGAGGUAAAGGCUCACCAAGGCGAUGAUCAGUAGCCGGCCUGAGAGGGUGAACGGCCACACUGGGACUGAGACACGGCCCAGACUCCUACGGGAGGCAGCAGUGGGGAAUCUUCCGCAAUGGGCGCAAGCCUGACGGAGCAACGCCGCGUGGGUGAAGAAGGCCUCGGUUGUAAGCCUGUCUUAUGGAGAAGUCAGUGACGGUACCAUAGGAGGAAGCCACGGCUAACUAACGUGCCAGCAGCCGCGGUAAAGAGAGUACA
RNAcentral lists this ribosomal RNA (494 nucleotides) under uncultured bacterium. Its description in RNAcentral is "bacterial SSU rRNA". It matches the Rfam family "Bacterial small subunit ribosomal RNA", at positions 28 to 536 of the family's 1533-position model. The record is from RNAcentral.